GAUCAUGGCUCAGGAUGAACGCUAGCUACAGGCUUAACACAUGCAAGUCGAGGGGCAGCAUGGUCUUAGCUUGCUAAGGCCGAUUGGCGACCGGCGCACGGGUGAGUAACACGUAUCCAACCUGCCGUCUACUCUUGGGACAGCCUUCUGAAAGGAAGAUUAAUACAAGAUGGCAUCAUGAGUCCACAUGUUCACAUGAUUAAAGGUAUUCCGGUAGACGAUGGGG
Molecule: ribosomal RNA, 226 nt
Filed under: uncultured bacterium
Lineage: Bacteria
Description: partial 16S ribosomal RNA
Rfam family: Bacterial small subunit ribosomal RNA
Source: RNAcentral